This is a long non-coding RNA of Oryzias melastigma (Indian medaka), 613 nucleotides long. RefSeq lists it as uncharacterized. The transcript is spliced from 5 exons. The record is from RefSeq and is a predicted model, not a curated record. Lineage: Eukaryota; Metazoa; Chordata; Actinopteri; Beloniformes; Adrianichthyidae.
UCGGAAGCUGUGAAUCGGAAGCCAACUUCAGCGUCGUGCUGAAGGUUUCGUCUGAGUCGGAUGUCCGGGAUAAGUCAGUUGAAAGGUUUUUCUGAGGGAUAGCUUACUCGUCUUUUGACCCUCGCUGGUUGAUGGGGAGAUUCGUAACGAACCGUUAAAAACGGAUGGAUUCUUCUGAACCGUCGGAGCUGAAGGAGUCUGGUUCUCCCCACCCUCCAGGACCUCUGUAAGUAACCAUGAACAGGGACAUGAUGUUAGAAGCGCGGGUGCCGUCUGGAUUUGUUGGACGCCGGCAGGAAAUGCUGAGGUUCCCGUGGUCGCCCAGCUGUCAGGUAUUUUGUCCCCCCUUGUACAAAGAGUGAAAUACCUACCCCCACCACCCAACUCACACGACGGUUAGAAACAUGGAUGGUGUCUGGACUUGUUGGACGUCGGCGAUAAAUGUAUCCGGUUUCUACCAUUAGCGGAGGUUCCCGUGGUCGUCCAGCUGUCAGAAGCUGAUGGAUCCGCAGCAUCACCCCUUCUCCCCUCGGAUGCGCAUAGAAACCGGACACAACCUCGGGCGGAUAAAAAGAUGCAUUUAACCUCUAUUAAUAAAGACCCUCAAGCGAUA